Molecule: ribosomal RNA, 249 nt
Filed under: uncultured bacterium
Lineage: Bacteria
Description: partial 16S ribosomal RNA
Rfam family: Bacterial small subunit ribosomal RNA
Source: RNAcentral
GCAAGUCGAACGGUAACAGUCUCUUCGGAGAGCUGACGACCGGCGCACGGGUGCGUAACGCGUAUGAAACCUACCUUAUACUGGGGGAUAGCCCGAAGAAAUUCGGAUUAAUACCCCAUAACGUGAUUGAUUGGCAUCAAUUAAUCAUUAAAACUCCGGUGGUAUAAGAUGGUCAUGCGUGACAUUAGUUUGUUGGUGAGGUAAUGGCUCACCAAGACUACGAUGUCUAGGGGGUCUGAGAGGAAGGUC